This 1509-nucleotide ribosomal RNA is filed under the name Triticum aestivum (bread wheat). Its description in RNAcentral is "partial small subunit ribosomal RNA". The record is from RNAcentral. Lineage: Eukaryota; Viridiplantae; Streptophyta; Magnoliopsida; Poales; Poaceae.
AUGCCGGGCAGCGAAGAUCGGCUCAGCGCUCUGCCGGACGGCGUCCUCCAGCACGUCCUCGGCUUCGUGCCGCCGAAUGACGCGGUCCGGACGAGCGUGCUCGCCGGCCGCUGGCGCCACGCCUGGAGAUCCAUCCGUCGCCUGCGCAUCAGCCCCAAGGACGGGUGGGACAGGCCCCAACAUCUGAAGGAUUUCUUGCACGCCUUGCUGCCCCCCGGCGACCAUGGUCCGAUUCUGGAAGAGGCCAAGCUGGACUUCGACGGAUUGGUGGAGGAAGACGACGCGCACGUCCAAGUUUGGAUCCGACGGAUUUUGUCGGGCCAAGCUCAGGUGCUCAACGUCUCCUUCAUCAGACUGGGAAACCCUCCUCUGGUCUCCCGGCAUUUGAGAAAACUGGAGCUCACUGAUACGGCUUUAGAAGCAAACAUUCUCGAUCUCGCAAGCUGCCCGGCACUGGAGGAUCUGAUCAUGGCGUCCUGUAUAUUAUCCCUUUGCAAGAUCUCGUCCCAGUCGGUGAAGCGUCUCAGCAUCAGCGGCUGUGAUUUCCUCUGUGAUUGCCGGCCUAGGAUAGCAAUCCCCAGCCUCGUCUGGCUGCUGCUUGACUCUUUCGGCGGUAACGUUCCUUUGCUUGGAAGCAUGCCUUCACUGAAAACAGCACUUGUGAGGCCUGCAGCAUACUCGAGUGAUUGCUGCAAAGGAGGUGAGCUGGGGCAGUGCUGUGGCAGCUGUGCAGAGUGUACCGGUGACGAUGACCAUAGCGGCCGCUGCGUGCUUCUUGGAGGUUUGUCGGCUGCUGUGAAUUUGGAGCUGGUAGCUCACGCUGGAAUGGAAAUGUCGUCUGACGACGAAAAAGAUUUCAUUAAGUGCGAAUACUGUGAAGACCAGCGCGGCCUGUGCGAUAGAAAUUUCCUUGUUGAUGAUAGGCGCUUCAGCAUCAAGCUGGAUGAGACCUUCGAAGUGGAUACACGCAUCCCCUGCCAUGCAAGAAUUUUUGUCUUGGAUAAGAUAGGUUUCAGUGCUAUGAAAACUAUGGAGAUGAUAUUGAAGGUAAUAGAGACAUCUGGGUCGAUGUGCAGACGCCUCCAGUUCUACCAUUAUCUUAUUUUUGGAAGAGAUUUGAGGUGGUGUCCUACAUUUAGUAACUUGAAGACAUUGUUCCUGAAUGACUGGUGUGUGGCUAUUGACUUCCGUGCACUACUUUGCAUUCUCGAGCAUUCACUAGUUCUUGAGAAGCUCACUCUUCAACUAUGUAAGAGACAGGAAUUUAUAACUGUGCUGGCAGGUAACUGCUAUCCACUGGAAAAAUUACCUGCAAUAUCCGAACACCUUAAUGCUGUGGAAAUCAGAUGUAGAGAUAUUGAUGGGAGGGUUUGCAGGAUUUUAAAAUUCUUGAGUCGAUUUGUCAGUGUCACGCAGAUUAACAUCAAACUGACUGCGCAACUGUCCACAUGCUUCAGUUUCGAAACAUGGCUCUCGCCCUCCCUGGCAAAUGGUGAUGAUUAUUCAUGA